This 253-nucleotide ribosomal RNA is filed under the name uncultured bacterium. Its description in RNAcentral is "partial 16S ribosomal RNA". It matches the Rfam family "Bacterial small subunit ribosomal RNA", at positions 524 to 776 of the family's 1533-position model. The record is from RNAcentral.
UACGUAGGGGGCAAGCGUUAUCCGGAUUUACUGGGUGUAAAGGGCGUGUAGGCGGGAGAGCAAGUCAGACGUGAAAUUCCAGGGCUCAACCCUGGAACUGCGUUUGAAACUGUUCUUCUUGAGUGAUGGAGAGGCAGGCGGAAUUCCGUGUGUAGCGGUGGAAUGCGUAGAUAUACGGAGGAACACCAGUGGCGAAGGCGGCCUGCUGGACAUUAACUGACGCUGAGGCGCGAAAGCGUGGGGAGCAAACAGG